Molecule: small nuclear RNA, 107 nt
Organism: Jaculus jaculus (lesser Egyptian jerboa)
Lineage: Eukaryota; Metazoa; Chordata; Mammalia; Rodentia; Dipodidae
Source: RefSeq, a predicted model, not a curated record
GUGAUCACUUUGGCAGCACAUAUGUUAAAAUUGGAAUGAUACAGCGCAAAUUAGUAUGGCCCCUGUGCAAGGAUGACAUGCAAAUUCAUGAAGUUUUCCACUCUUAA